UCUGGUGUCAGCCGCCGCGGUAAAACCAGCACCUCAAGUGGUCAGGAUGAUUAUUGGGCCUAAAGCAUCCGUAGCCGGCUCUGUAAGUUUUCGGUUAAAUCUGUAUGCUCAACAUACAGGCUGCCGGGAAUACUGCAGAGCUAGGGAGUGGGAGAGGUAGACGGUACUCGGUAGGAAGGGGUAAAAUCCUUUGAUCUAUUGAUGACCACCUGUGGCGAAGGCGGUCUACCAGAACACGUCCGACGGUGAGGGAUGAAAGCUGGGGGAGCAAACCGGAUUAGAUACCCGGGUAGUCCCAGCUGUAAACUAUGCAAACUCAGUGAUGCAUUGGCUUGUGGCCAAUGCAGUGCUGCAGGGAAGCCGUUAAGUUUGCCGCCUGGGAAGUACGUACGCAAGUAUGAAACUUAAAGGAAUUGGCGGGGGAGCACCACAAGGGGUGAAGCCUGCGGUUCAAUUGGAGUCAACGCCAGAAAUCUUACCCGGAGAGACAGCAGAAUGAAGGUCAAGUUGAAGACUUUACCAGACAAGCU
This 530-nucleotide ribosomal RNA is filed under the name uncultured Nitrososphaerota archaeon. RNAcentral describes it as "bacterial SSU rRNA". It matches the Rfam family "Archaeal small subunit ribosomal RNA", at positions 451 to 981 of the family's 1478-position model. The record is from RNAcentral. Lineage: Archaea; Thermoproteati; Nitrososphaerota.